This 449-nucleotide ribosomal RNA is filed under the name uncultured bacterium. Its description in RNAcentral is "bacterial SSU rRNA". It matches the Rfam family "Bacterial small subunit ribosomal RNA", at positions 329 to 795 of the family's 1533-position model. The record is from RNAcentral.
AGCCAGACUCCUACGGGAGGCAGCAGUGGGGAAUAUUGCACAAUGGGGGAAACCUUGAUGCAGCGACGCCGCGUGAGUGAAGAAGUAUUUCGGUAUGUAAAGCUCUAUCAGCAGGGAAGAAAAUGACGGUACCUGAUUAAGAAGCCCCGGCUAACUACGUGCCAGCAGCCGCGGUAAUACGUAGGGGGCAAGCGUUAUCCGGAUUUACUGGGUGUAAAGGGAGCGUAGACGGCUGUGCAAGCCAGAUGUGAAAGCCCGGGGCUCAACCCCGGGACUGCAUUUGGAACUGUGUAGCUGGAGUGUCGGAGAGGCAGGCGGAAUUCCUAGUGUAGCGGUGAAAUGCGUAGAUAUUAGGAGGAACACCAGUGGCGAAGGCGGCCUGCUGGACGAUGACUGACGUUGAGGCUCGAAAGCGUGGGGAGCAAACAGGAUUAGAUACCCCGGUACAC